RNAcentral lists this non-coding RNA (30 nucleotides) under Homo sapiens (human). The record is from RNAcentral. Lineage: Eukaryota; Metazoa; Chordata; Mammalia; Primates; Hominidae.
UGCAAGACAGAAGUGUCCCAAGCACUGGUA